UGGGGAAUCUUGGACAAUGGGCGCAAGCCUGAUCCAGCCAUGCCGCGUGGAUGAUGAAGGCCCUAGGGUUGUAAAAUCCUUUCGUUGGGGACGAUAAUGACGGUACCCAAAGAAGAAGCUCCGGCUAACUUCGUGCCAGCAGCCGCGGUAAUACGAAGGGGGCUAGCGUUGUUCGGAAUUACUGGGCGUAAAGCGUACGUAGGCGGUGACUCAAGUCAGAGGUGAAAGCCUGGAGCUCAACUCCAGAACUGCCUUUGAAACUAGGUCGCUAGAAUCACGGAGAGGUGAGUGGAAUUCCGAGUGUAGAGGUGAAAUUCGUAGAUAUUCGGAAGAACACCAGUGGCGAAGGCGGCUCACUGGACGUGUAUUGACGCUGAGGUACGAAAGCGUGGGGAGCAAACAGGAUUAGAUACCCAAGUAGUCCCUGAGCGGGCUGGCAAGGCGCAU
This 447-nucleotide ribosomal RNA is filed under the name uncultured bacterium. Its description in RNAcentral is "bacterial SSU rRNA". It matches the Rfam family "Bacterial small subunit ribosomal RNA", at positions 355 to 825 of the family's 1533-position model. The record is from RNAcentral.